This 327-nucleotide long non-coding RNA is filed under the name Lathyrus oleraceus (garden pea). RNAcentral's name for it is "Pisum sativum (pea) long non-coding RNA (PSAT_LNC000460)". The record is from RNAcentral. Lineage: Eukaryota; Viridiplantae; Streptophyta; Magnoliopsida; Fabales; Fabaceae.
GAUUCUGAUUGUCCAAGUUAUCUAUGUGCUGUCGAUGGAAUUGGGAGAUGUUUUUCGUAUGGUUGUGCAUGUGUGUAUAACCCUUAAGUAACUUUAUGUUAUUUUUAUUUUCAUGAUAUUUAUAAUCUUAUAACUCUAAUAUAUGAUUUUUUUUCACUAUCUUUAAAGAAACACUACUAAAUAAGGACAUUACAACUAGGAGAGUUUAAGAAUAGGAUUAGAUGUUCUUAUUUACUACUAAAAUAUUGUAUUUUUUUUCAUAAAAACUUGUAAUUAACUGAAAUAUUAUAAUAAAUGACUUAAACUUUGAAACUAGUUUUUUUUAUA